This is a long non-coding RNA of Oncorhynchus tshawytscha (Chinook salmon), 1101 nucleotides long. NCBI's taxonomy places the organism in Eukaryota, Metazoa, Chordata, Actinopteri, Salmoniformes, Salmonidae. The record is from Ensembl.
GGCGUGAGAAUCUGUGAAUAAAAAGUCACAAUGUUCCGUCUGAUUUGGUGUGUGCGUGCGCUUGUAUCAGUGUGGGUGUGUAUCUGGACAUUGCUCGGGUGGUGGAUAGUGCUGUUGUGACAGUGGGCUGCCCUCAGAGGUCUGUGGAUAUCCAGUGUAAAUCCAGCCCAGGGGAGCUGUGAAAAAGCUAAUAAUACGUUAUUGCAGUAGAGAUCCUUCCUGUCGCCUCUCCAUCACCACACCAGUGCCACCCUACACAUGGACCACAGCGGGAUAAUGGCCAAUAAUGUGGAGCAGCAGAGAGUGGGGAAGUCCAAACACACUGGCCGCUGAGUGGUGUGAGAGGGCCGGGGUCGAGAGAGAGGGCUGAGGUAGAGAGAGGACCGGGGUAGAGAGAGGACCGGGGUAGAGAGAGGACUGGGGUAGAGAGAGAGAGAGGACAUGGGUAGAGAGAGGAUAUGGGUAGAGAGAGGACUGGGGUAGAGAGAGGACUGGGGUAGAGAGAGGACUGGUGUAGAGAGAAGACUGGGGUAGAGAGAGGACUGGCGUAGAGAGAAGACUGGGGUAGAGAGAGGACUGGCGUAGAGCGAAGACUGGGGUAGAGAGAGGACUGGGGUAGAGAGAAGACUGGGGUAGAGAGAGGACUGGAGUAGAGAGAGGACUGGCGUAGAGAGAGGACUGGGGUAGAGAGAGCGCUGAGGUAGAGAGAGGACCGGGGUAGAGAGAGGACUGGGGUAGAGAGAAUACUGGGAGAGAGAGAGAGAGAGAGUGCUGGGGUAGAGAGAGGACUGGGGUAGAGAGAAUCCUGGGGUAGAGAGAAUACUGGGAGAGAGAGAGAGAGAGAGAGAGAGAGUGCUGGGGUAGAGAGAGGACUGGGGUAGAGAGAAUACUGGGGUAGAGAGAGAGAGAGAGAGUGCUGGGGUAGAGAGAGGACUGGGGUAGAGAGAAUCCUGGGGUAGAGAGAAUACUGGGUGUAGAGAGAAUACUGGGGUAGAGAGAUAUAGAGAGAGGACUGGGGUAGAGAGAGGACUGGGGUAGAGAGAAUCCUGGGGUAGAGAGAAUACUGGGGUAGAGAGAGAUAGAGAGAAUACUGGGGUAGAG